RNAcentral lists this long non-coding RNA (2092 nucleotides) under Sorghum bicolor (sorghum). Its description in RNAcentral is "long non-coding RNA (SBIC_LNC011760)". The record is from RNAcentral. Lineage: Eukaryota; Viridiplantae; Streptophyta; Magnoliopsida; Poales; Poaceae.
ACGGAGGGCGGAGGCACAGCUCAGCUUCAACUAAAUCUCUGUCCGACGAAAAUCUUCCUCAUUGGCGACGCAGUGCUCUUCCUCGCCGAUGCUGUUGUGGUCCGCCAUGCUCUUGUCCUUGCUGCGCGGCUCUGCUCCGCCCUGUCCCGCUCCGGCAUCGGCGCCUUGCUCGCCCCACCCUUACCUGGUGCCGGCGCAGCCUGCUUGCGCUCGCCCUCUACGCACACCGGCGAGGAUGAAGAGACCAAGAAGACAACGUCGGUGAGUAUUUUUGGCGCGAUUUCCCCCCUUGCGCGCAGCUAGAUCCGUGCGGCGUCGCCUCAAGACGACAGCUUCCUACAAUGCGAAACUAGCCGUCGAGUUCGUCUGGGAGCACGAGCGCUCGCUGUCCUUUCGUGAAGCGACGGCUUCACUCUCUCUCCUCAUUUACUGUAGCGAACUGAGGGGAUUUUCGUAAAAUUACCAUCCGCAGACGACGGCCAGCAUGCCCGUUGUACGUGCCCUAAGGGUCCGUAUAGUUUGGUUGAAGUGGAAUUUGAUGCGCAUGCUUAUUGUGAGAAAUAAUAGCUACACGCAUUUGCCUAUAGCUUGCUUUGACACUAAUCCAGUUCUGUUUCUUGCCAUGGCCAACAGCUUCCAGUUCAUAAAAAACUGAGCUCCCUUUCUCUCAGUUGGGAUUGGGGGUCUGGUGCUCAAUGAUGGCUAUGCUUUUGAUUUUGUUUUGCUGGCCUCUUUUUUUCUACCUCUUUCUGAAAUUACAUUGUGCUUCUCCGUGUUCAGCGUUCCUUCAGUGUUGCCGCUAUUGGUGGGCUGCUAAGCUUGAUGCUGAGCUUUGUGAUACCUUGAUGUGUGCUGUGUUCUACAUUAUUUUUUUUUUGUCUUUUUAAGUGUAGUAGAUUUUUGUUGAUAUCCAAUUUGGUAAAAUGGUAGUUCUUCAGAUGAACUUCUCUGGAUCUAAAAAAAAUACUUUCAGAUUGGCCGUCUUUUUAGCAUGUGCCUAAUCUUUUUUUGUUGCUACUGUAUUUAGCUAGAGUUGUGAAGUUUUACUUCUGUCUGUACUAAUGAAAAAUUAGUAAAAACAAAUAUUCAGAUGUAUUUUUGCUCACUAGACUUUUGAUAGUAGAUUAAUAGGUUUCUGUUUGUGUAUUUUGAAGGUGACGGUGAGUGCAACCGAGUUUCUCGAGCGCAAUGGCAUAAGCCUUGGUGAGCCAGCUGGUCUUGAUUCAUUUUACCUUGUCCAUCUUCUCUCACCCAUUCCCAUUUUGAUUAUUCAUUUACUGCAGUUUGUUAAUAUGAGUCAUGCCAAUGUCAUGUUUGGUUCGACAACGUUGUGCCUGCAAUUAUUACUAUUGAUCCUCAAAAUUUAGGCAUUAAGUUCUUAUUACUUUGGUAUUUCAAUGGUAAAGGUUGUUCUUUGGUUUAGUAUAAGAGAAAAGUGUACUUGUUGUAUGGUAAUCAUGGCAUAAAAAUAGAAUUUUGUAUCAUGAUAACAAAUGGGAAAUUUCUAGAAGAGGUCACCUAUUGGUCUUGACUUUCUUCUGACAAUGCUUUAUUGAUUCUGAAUGAAAUGGAGAAAUAUGUUAGCUUAGCUAAGGGAGGUUUGGUCUCAGAGAGCCGAGAUAAUUGAUGGAUAUAUGAUGCAUGAUUUUGAAUCUUUAGCCAAAAUGCAAUUUUUGAUAAAAAAACAUGGCAUCCUGAAUAUGUUACCUACCUAUGGCACUCUUUCAAGCAUUGUGGAAACGGAUAAAUUCUAUAUAUUUUUAAGUAUCCCAACGGGUGCUCCUAGCGGCAAGUGUGUUGCACCAUUCUCUUCUUUUUAGAAAAAAACAAAGUUGCGUAUUCAAUAGUAUAGGAACUAUGCUUGACUACGGAAGAAUAUAUCAUCUCAUAUUAGUUUUAAUUUGCAAUUAUCCGUACCAUAGUAGUUUUAGUUUGUAUAUUCGAAAUAUAACCGUAGCGUUAGCACGGGCAUACUACUAGUACUUUUAAUGACAGAUUCUGGUUGGUUGGCAGUUGUACAUGGAUGGUUAAUUAUGUCUAGUGGCUGGCUGCUCAUGCAUUGCAAUGGAUUUCUAAUCCACUAGUUCAAUUU